This 460-nucleotide ribosomal RNA is filed under the name uncultured bacterium. RNAcentral describes it as "partial 16S ribosomal RNA". It matches the Rfam family "Bacterial small subunit ribosomal RNA", at positions 338 to 795 of the family's 1533-position model. The record is from RNAcentral.
CCUACGGGAGGCAGCAGUGAGGAAUAUUGGUCAAUGGCCGGAAGGCUGAACCAGCCAUGCCGCGUGAAGGUCAGUGCCCUAUGGGCGUUAAACUUCUUUUGUGCGGGAGCAAUAAUGGUCACGUGUGGCCAGAAGAGAGUACCGUACGAAUAAGCAUCGGCUAACUACGUGCCAGCAGCCGCGGUAAUACGGGGGAUGCAAGCGUUACCCGGAUUUAUUGGGUUUAAAGGGUGCGUAGGCUGGGCGGUAAGGCAGCGGGGGAAUGCCCCCGCUCAACGGGGUGAAGUGCCAUUGAUACUGGCGUGCUGGAAUGCGGAUGCCGUAGGAGGAAUGUGUGGUGUAGCGGUGAAAUGCAUAGAUAUCACACAGAACACCGAUUGCGAAGGCAUCUCACGAAUCCGCGAUUGACGCUGAUGCACGAAAGCGUGGGUAUCAAACAGGAUUAGAUACCCCAGUAGUC